CGCGUAGGUGGCUCGUUAAGUGGUCGGUGAAAUCCCGGGGCUCAACUCCGGGGCUGCCGGUCAGACUGGCGGGCUAGAGCACGGUAGGGGCAGAUGGAAUUCCCGGUGUAGCGGUGGAAUGCGUAGAUAUCGGGAAGAACACCAGUGGCGAAGGCGUUCUGCUGGGCCGUUGCUGACACUGAGGCGCGACAGCGUGGGGAGCAAACAGGAUUAGAUACCCUGGUAGUCCACGCCGUAAACGAUGGGCACUAGGCGUCGGGGGGAGCGACCCUCCCGGUGCCGUCGCUAACGCAGUAAGUGCCCCGCCUGGGGAGUACGGCCGCAAGGCUGAA
RNAcentral lists this ribosomal RNA (332 nucleotides) under uncultured Gemmatimonas sp. Its description in RNAcentral is "bacterial SSU rRNA". It matches the Rfam family "Bacterial small subunit ribosomal RNA", at positions 568 to 898 of the family's 1533-position model. Lineage: Bacteria; Pseudomonadati; Gemmatimonadota; Gemmatimonadia; Gemmatimonadales; Gemmatimonadaceae. The record is from RNAcentral.